RNAcentral lists this ribosomal RNA (850 nucleotides) under uncultured eukaryote. Its description in RNAcentral is "SSU rRNA". It matches the Rfam family "Eukaryotic small subunit ribosomal RNA", at positions 584 to 1457 of the family's 1831-position model. The record is from RNAcentral.
UCCAGCUCCAAUAGCGUAUAUUAAAGUUGUUGUGGUUAAAAAGCUCGUAGUUGGAUCUCGGCGGACUGAGGGCGGUUUGCUUGCUAGUAUUACUGCCCUAUAGUCCGUAGUUUUGCCAGAGGUUUCGGGGUGCUCUUAAUCGAGUGUCCCGGGAUGCUGGCAGGUUUACUUUGAAAAAAUUAGAGUGCUCAAAGCAGGCUAUUACGCCUGAAUAUUCGUGCAUGGAAUAAUAGAAUAGGAAGUCGUUUCUAUUUUGUUGGUUUUCGGAAAUCGACUUAAUGAUUAAUAGGGACAGUCGGGGGCAUUUGUAUUCAAACGACAGAGGUGAAAUUCUUGGACCGUUUGAAGACAAACUACUGCGAAAGCAUUUGCCAAGAAUGUUUUCAUUAAUCAAGAACGAAAGUUAAAGGUUCGAAGGCGAUUAGAUACCGCCCUAGUUUUAACCAUAAACGAUGCCAGCUAGCGAUCUGCGGACGUUUUUUUUGUAGACUCCGCAGGAAGCUUCCGGGAAACCAAAGCAUUUGGGUUCCAGGGGAAGUAUGGUUGCAAAGCUGAAACUUAAAGGAAUUGACGGAAGGGCACCACCAGGAGUGGAGCCUGUGGCUUAAUUUGACUCAACACGGGAAAUCUCACCAGGCCCGGACACUGGAAGGAUUGACAGAUUGAUAGCUCUUUCUUGAUUCGGUGGGUGGUGGUGCAUGGCCGUUCUUAGUUGGUGGAGUGAUUUGUCUGGUUAAUUCCGAUAACGAACGAGACUCUGUCCUGCUAAAUAGUGUCUGCUUCUCUUUUGAGCAGACAAUUCUUCUUAGAGGGACUGGCGACUCUUAGUCGCACGAGAUUGAGCAAUAAC